RNAcentral lists this ribosomal RNA (274 nucleotides) under uncultured bacterium. RNAcentral's name for it is "partial 16S ribosomal RNA". It matches the Rfam family "Archaeal small subunit ribosomal RNA", at positions 473 to 747 of the family's 1478-position model. The record is from RNAcentral.
AAACCAGCACCUCAAGUGGUCAGGAGGAUUAUUGGGCCUAAAGCAUCCGUAGCCUGUUCUGUAAGUUUUCGGUUAAAUCCAUUAGCUCAACUAAUGGGCUGCCGAAAAUACUGUAGAACUAGGGGGUGGGAGAGGUAGACGGUAUUCGGUAGGAAGGGGUAAAAUCCUUUGAUCUAUUGAGGACCACCUGUGGCGAAGGCGGUCUACCAGAACACGUUCGACGGUGAGGGAUGAAAGCUGGGGGAGCAAACCGGAUUAGAAACCCGAGUAGUCC